Long non-coding RNA from Solanum lycopersicum (tomato), 1470 nucleotides. RefSeq lists it as uncharacterized. The record is from RefSeq and is a predicted model, not a curated record. NCBI's taxonomy places the organism in Eukaryota, Viridiplantae, Streptophyta, Magnoliopsida, Solanales, Solanaceae.
UUGGCACGAAAACUUGCUUUAGUACUUAAACUACAGGGUGUUUAUAUACCCCUUAACAUGUUUGAUGUGAAUUAUUUUCAACCCUCCCAACACCAGCCCAGUUGAAGGCCGGGGAUUGUUACGCACGCACGAUUUCAAUGAUCCGUGUUACUAAGGGUUUAAAGAAUGUCUUAUCCAUUUUUAAAACACACCCAUACCCAAAAUACAAUGCGACCCACUUAUUAACAAAUAUCCCUAAAUCACUAAGCUCGAUUCUCAUUCUUUUCUCUUAUCUUAAAUCUGCAAGACAUAAGAUCUGAUGAUUUCUCUUUGUUAGCGUGAAGGAUUUCCGGAGUUUAAGAUUUUCGUGAAAGAAACAAAGAAUUGUGUGAAGAAACAAAGUUACCAGUUUGAUGAUGGAUGUGUAUGUUACCUUAAGGUUUCACCAUGGUGGAAAACUACAACUAAAACCUCGUAUUAAGUAUGAAGGAGGCAGAGGAAGAGAAAAUGGAGAGGAACAAAGAUUAGUUCAACAAGGUCAAUUGUUGAUUCUUCUACAGCAUCAACUAAAUCACAAUCAAGCACAAAGAGAGGAAGAGGUCGACUAAGAAGUUCUACAAAACAGGUAAUGUUUAUAGUAAUUCAUCUAGUUGUUAUUUACAUCGUAAUCAGUCCAAUAUUUUUGCUUAUCAACUUAUGUUAUAGGCUAGUGCUUCUAGAAAGGGAAGUAAAAUUGGAACUAGUUUAGUUGGAACUGGAAGGGAUCGAAAGAGAAACUGAAAUUGGUAACGGAAUAAGAACUACUGUUGCUUUUGAUGGUUCGGGUCCCACUAGAAGGGGAAGAGGAACUAGAGCUGAUUUAGUUGGAAGGGAAAGAGAAACUGCAACUAGUGUAUCUAAAAGGGGAAUAGGUAGAGGAACUGUAGUAGCUGCUACUGCUAUUAUUACUGAUGUUGAUGGUGCUACUGGAGGAGGGAAGAGGCCAAGAAUAGUUGGAAUAGCGAUACUACAUAUACAAAAUAAUUUUAAAAUCCACAAUGUAAGUUGUCUUAAUUAUUUGCACACUUUUCAAUUUUAACUUAUAAAGUAUCUAAAACAACAUAUUUUUGUGAAUCUAGCCCGAAAUGCCUAUGAACUCUUCAAUAGUGACUGGACAUCUUAGGCAUCAUAAUCAAGAUCACGCUUAAAAUGAAAAGAAAAGAUUGUUGUAACUCAACAAGGUCUUCAAGAGAUGAGAAAAACAAAAGAAGGAGAAUAAGGUUUAAUAAUGAUGAAGUUUGAUAUGGAGAUUGUUUUAGUUUGCUAUUUUACUUGUUUUUGGAACAAUUAUGCAUCUGUGACUGCAUUAGUUUGAUAUGUUUGUUUUUGAAACAAUUAUGUUGCAGAUGUGACUGCAUUGAUAUAUGUUUGUUUUAGAAACAAUUAUACAAUUAUGCAGUUGUGACUGCAUUAGUUUGAUAUAUGUUUGAAAUGAUUAUGUAGUUGUGAUUG